Molecule: RNA transcript, 1966 nt
Organism: Manduca sexta (tobacco hornworm)
Lineage: Eukaryota; Metazoa; Arthropoda; Insecta; Lepidoptera; Sphingidae
Gene name: leucine-rich repeat, immunoglobulin-like domain and transmembrane domain-containing protein 2
Exons: 2
Source: RefSeq, a predicted model, not a curated record
UCAGAUGGACGCGGGACUGCGUCGGGCGCGCACGUACCGCCCCGGGAUUGUGAGUGAUGUGCUAGUGAUGUGCCACGGGAAUGUUCGUUGUAUAAGUGACAGAACAACAGUUUGAUAUGAGAUGGACUGGCGACCAUGGGCCUGGUGGUCGGCCUUCCUCUUGACCAUCACACUGGCUGGCAGCGACUGGCUGAACUGCGCUAAGAUCGCGGAAUGUCAUUGCAAGUGGUCAUCGGGAAAGAAGACCGCGUCAUGCGUCUCGGCUGGAUUAAAACAAUUGCCAAAAUUAGCAUCAGAUAUUCAGGUUUUGGACUUACACGGCAAUCCACUGAGAGUAUUACUCGGAGACGCGUUCGCAAGCAUCGAACUAUUGAACUUGCAACGACUAAAUCUCAGCUCGACGAGUCUGAAAGCAUUACAUUCAAACGCAUUCAGGGAACUUAGAAUAUUAAUAGAAUUAGAUCUGUCUCAGAACGAACUGUUGCAGCUAUCUCCCGAUACGUUCAAAGGUACCGAUCGUUUGAGACUUUUGAUACUAAACGACAACCCUUUGACAAAUCUCGUCUCAGAACAGUUUCCUCCGUUAAAAUAUUUAAAGAAACUUGAGGUAUCUAGAUGCAAGCUGAGGUCGGUGCAUCCGUUCGCUUUCGUUAAUUUGAGAGCAUUAGAAACAGUGAAUAUACAUCAAAACUUAUUAACCAAUCUCCACCAAGAUACAUUUAACCUGCCAGUUUUGAAAACGCUAACAUUAUCAGACAACCCCUGGUACUGUGACUGUAGAUUACGAGAAUUCCACGAAUGGUUUCUGGAUAGCAAUCUUGGAAAUGAAGAUGUCUUUUGCGAUGGUCCAGAUAACAGACAUAAGACAUCAUGGCGCGUAUUAAGAGAGAAGACUUUGUUUGUCCACCAUCAGCAAUGUCUGCGCCAACUGUGAUCAGAACUGAGACAGGAGCAGACAUUUCUUUCGGAUGUUUCGUCCGCGGCGAUCCUACGCCCAUGGUAACAUGGUCGUUCCACCAGAUCCAAGUGCACAACAGUACGAGUACAAGCAGCGAUAUUAUUAUCCAAAACACCAAGUGAGUCGUUUCGAUGAGUAUAGUGAUUUCUUUAACAAAAGUGCGCAGUGGGUCAACGUGACCAUUAAUAACGUGACCAGUGACUUAGCUGGAGAGUGGAGAUGUAGUGCGAAGAGUUUUGCUGGCGAGUCCUCGACAUACUUAACAAUAUUUUUACCCAAAGCCAGGUCAGCGCCUGCUAGAGUUGCUCCGACUAUUCUACUUUCUUCUUGAUAGCUGGUUCUUUAUUUGCUAUGACUGCCGCGGGUUUCUUUCCGCCUGCAUCUGCUGGAAGACGCGCGUCGAAGAAUGCCGCCAAGCAGAAGUUUCACUGACCAAGAGAAGAAGCUUCUCGAUACAUCCUUAGCAGCUAGCUGUGAUAGAACCAGUGGUGAUUUGGGCUCAUCAUACGGAUUUGAAAUGCUGGAUAGGUCUAUGUCUUUGGAAAGCGAAGACACUAGGUGCUUAGAGCCUGUCCAGAUAACAAUAGAAGGUCCUCCAGGGACAUUUCCUCCCCCACCAGCUGAAUUCGCUUUACCAGCACCUUAUGGGAACAUUUUAUAUCAGUUCAAGUUGCUGGGCACAACGAUGAGUACCCAGACUUGCUGGGAGGUGGUGCUACCUUACCUAGACGUAGUAGGACUUGUUUUUUAAAGUCGGCGUACGACAAUAUGGGACCUAGAAUUACUGCAGCCGGUAGCUCGACUUGGUCUCUUCCCGGUGCCAAUGUAGAUAAAAAUUCGGAUAAGAAAGACCCAUUGACUGUACCACUCUCUACAUUUUCUACAGAAUUUACUGCUUUAUAAGGUUAGAUAAUUUUUUGUAAGAAUCUACGUAGAUAUUUUCCGAGUGCUGGUAAUUUAGUUUAAUAAAUUUUAAUACUUUUACGAUUGAAAUUAGUUUGAAGAAUG